GGGCUCGUGGUGUAGUGGUAUCGCGUCUGCUUUGCAUGCAGAAGGCCUCGGGUUCAAACCCCGACAAGUCCA
RNAcentral lists this transfer RNA (72 nucleotides) under Maritimibacter sp. RNAcentral describes it as "tRNA-Ala". It matches the Rfam family "tRNA". From Rfam's summary of the family: Transfer RNA (tRNA) molecules are approximately 80 nucleotides in length. Their secondary structure includes four short double-helical elements and three loops (D, anti-codon, and T loops). The record is from RNAcentral. Lineage: Bacteria; Pseudomonadati; Pseudomonadota; Alphaproteobacteria; Rhodobacterales; Roseobacteraceae.